RNAcentral lists this ribosomal RNA (440 nucleotides) under uncultured bacterium. Its description in RNAcentral is "bacterial SSU rRNA". It matches the Rfam family "Bacterial small subunit ribosomal RNA", at positions 338 to 769 of the family's 1533-position model. The record is from RNAcentral.
CCUACGGGAGGCAGCAGUGGGGAAUAUUGGACAAUGGACGCAAGUCUGAUCCAGCGACGCCGCGUGGGUGAUGAAGGCCUUCGGGUUGUAAAGCCCUGUGGGCAGGGAAGAAAACGGUCUGGAAUAAUAAGACAGAUCCUUGACGGUACCUGCUCAGAAAGCACCGGCUAACUCUGUGCCAGCAGCCGCGGUAAGACAGAGGGUGCAAACGUUGCUCGGAAUUACUGGGCGUAAAGCGCGUGUAGGUGGAUUGGUGUGUCAGAUGUGAAAUCCCUGGGCUCAACCCAGGAACUGCACCUGAAACUACCAGUCUUGAGUGGUGGAGAGGGAAGUGGAAUUCCUGGUGUAGAGGUGAAAUUCGUAGAUAUCAGGAGGAACACCAGUGGCGAAGGCGGCUUCCUGGACACCAACUGACGCUGAGACGCGAAAGCGUGGGGAGC